GUAAGGACAUAUAACGAUCUUUGAACUUGACGGACAGCUGUAAUCUUCUAUUUUCACCUAAGAGAGGGAGAGACACACAAACCAUAGUGCACAAAUAUAAUAAGAAAUAGUAAUAUUUAUUUGAUUGCACUCACACAAUAAUAGUUGUAAUCCAGCUUGUCACAAUACUUGGGGGAUAGUGGUGCCGGCGUCCUUCUUCCCUUAGCGAGUAGUGACAAAACAAACUGAAUAAAAACAGUCUAUGAACAUAAGACAAUAUAAAGACAAAAUAAUAUAAAAUAACAAGGUACUGUCGUGGUCCCUCCGCCCUACGCGUUUCGUCUCAAAACGAGACUUCCUCAGGGAAAAAUGAAGGUGUAUAUUACAGUCUGUUGAGUCCAUCUUUUAAAAGGUCGUAAAUUCCCGCCUUCUGUAUGGCCAAUCGGAAUGUAUCACCUGCGAUAGUUUAAUGCGUUCCAAGCCUCGUUUUCGGUUUGACCAUUCUCAGAGCAACUUCCGGUAUCGCGUGGAGCGCAAACAUGCGUUCCACGGCCGUAAAAGGAAAUGAACGAAUCCAUACAUGAAAAAAGUAUUAUAAAACAAAUAGAGAAAUAAAUCCAUAGGCAAAAAACAUCAUAGUACUAACAUUUUACAAGAUAAAUACAAG
This is a non-coding RNA of Pelobates cultripes (western spadefoot toad), 646 nucleotides long. NCBI's taxonomy places the organism in Eukaryota, Metazoa, Chordata, Amphibia, Anura, Pelobatidae. The record is from the annotation of a GenBank genome assembly.